UAUUUGGAAAGCUACCUUGGAAAUUGACUUUGGUGUAAUUACAAUGUAUUCUUCAAUUCACAUUAAGAGGAUAAGCGCGCACUGUGAAUUUCAGAUGGAAGCUCAAAUAGACAGUAGCAAGUAAUGAAGAAGCAAAUUUCUUAUAUCCAAAGGUGUUGGUGAGUUUUGCUUGUAUUUUGGGGAAAUUUACUUUCUACAUCUCAUGGAAGUUGUAUUUGAAGAGUAUGCUGCCUUUGAGAAUAAAGUGAAACACAGCGUCUAUAUUGACAAUCUUUCACAAUUGGCUAAGGAAUCUGUUACCAAAGCUACAUUUGAUCAGUUCGGAAAUGUCAUUCUGGUCAAGUUAAUCCUAACCUAGCUUGAACUAAAAGGGAUGGGACGAGCUGCUUUAGUUGUAAUGAAGAAUGCAUAUGAAGCAAGAACAAUCAUCUCUGAGAUAGGAAAUUCCCCUUUCGUGAUCUCAGGCAUGCCAAGACCUGUUAGGGCACGUGCUGCUGUAGUUGAGAUGUUUGAUAAUCUCCCAAGAAAACCUGAUAGACGAUAAUGUACUACUGGUUGAAAUCCAAUGAUCCUAAUUUUGAAGUGGCCACGAAGAUGAAACGUAUAGUUAGGAUCCAUGCAAAAGAAGCCAUUUUUUUGCUCAAGCGUCAAUUAAAGAAGGAAGAACAACUAGCAAAAGAACAGUCAGAGUCCUUGAACGCAAUCUACAACAAGUAUGAACUCGUUCAACAUGUCUUUAAGAGUGGAACUCCUACGCGAUUGAGAAAGCAUUAUAAAAUGUGUAAUGAUGUUUUUCUAGUAAUCAACAUUCUCAUCAAUACACUUGUAGAGACAUAAAGAUUCAAUGCUUAAACCAAAUGACAUGUUUUUAAAGUACAUUCCAGGCAGUAGAAGAGACUUUAUAUAUGCUAUCAUUCAUGUGCUCUUGAAUUGUAAUUGUUAGCCUAAAAUGUAUUGCUUUACAAGAUUUCUUAUGACCCUGCAGUCAACCUUUACUUUUUUGUGCUAGUAUAAUUUUUGCUAUUAUUGUAUUGGCAUAA
Long non-coding RNA from Solanum lycopersicum (tomato), 1040 nucleotides. RefSeq lists it as uncharacterized. Lineage: Eukaryota; Viridiplantae; Streptophyta; Magnoliopsida; Solanales; Solanaceae. The record is from RefSeq and is a predicted model, not a curated record.